RNAcentral lists this ribosomal RNA (851 nucleotides) under uncultured bacterium. RNAcentral describes it as "bacterial SSU rRNA". It matches the Rfam family "Bacterial small subunit ribosomal RNA", at positions 62 to 880 of the family's 1533-position model. The record is from RNAcentral.
UCGAGCGAGCGGAACUACAGUUUUACUUCGGUAAUGACGUUAGGAAAGCGAGCGGCGGAUGGGUGAGUAACACGUGGGGAACCUGCCCCAUAGUCUGGGAUACCACUUGGAAACAGGUGCUAAUACCGGAUAAGAAAGCAGAUCGCAUGAUCAGCUUUUAAAAGGCGGCGUAAGCUGUCGCUAUGGGAUGGCCCCGCGGUGCAUUAGCUAGUUGGUAAGGUAAAGGCUUACCAAGGCGAUGAUGCAUAGCCGAGUUGAGAGACUGAUCGGCCACAUUGGGACUGAGACACGGCCCAAACUCCUACGGGAGGCAGCAGUAGGGAAUCUUCCACAAUGGACGCAAGUCUGAUGGAGCAACGCCGCGUGAGUGAAGAAGGUUUUCGGAUCGUAAAGCUCUGUUGUUGGUGAAGAAGGAUAGAGGUAGUAACUGGCCUUUAUUUGACGGUAAUCAACCAGAAAGUCACGGCUAACUACGUGCCAGCAGCCGCGGUAAUACGUAGGUGGCAAGCGUUGUCCGGAUUUAUUGGGCGUAAAGCGAGCGCAGGCGGAAGAAUAAGUCUGAUGUGAAAGCCCUCGGCUUAACCGAGGAGCUGCAUCGGAAACUGUUUUUCUUGAGUGCAGAAGAGGAGAGUGGAACUCCAUGUGUAGCGGUGGAAUGCGUAGAUAUAUGGAAGAACACCAGUGGCGAAGGCGGCUCUCUGGUCUGCAACUGACGCUGAGGCUCGAAAGCAUGGGUAGCGAACAGGAUUAGAUACCCUGGUAGUCCAUGCCGUAAACGAUGAGUGCUAAGUGUUGGGAGGUUUCCGCCUCUCAGUGCUGCAGCUAACGCAUUAAGCACUCCGCCUGGGGAG